UACGAAGGGGGCUAGCGUUGCUCGGAAUCACUGGGCGUAAAGGGUGCGUAGGCGGGUCUUUAAGUCAGGGGUGAAAUCCUGGAGCUCAACUCCAGAACUGCCUUUGAUACUGAGGAUCUUGAGUUCGGGAGAGGUGAGUGGAACUGCGAGUGUAGAGGUGAAAUUCGUAGAUAUUCGCAAGAACACCAGUGGCGAAGGCGGCUCACUGGCCCGAUACUGACGCUGAGGUGCGAAAGCGUGGGGAGCAAAGCAGG
This 254-nucleotide ribosomal RNA is filed under the name uncultured bacterium. RNAcentral's name for it is "partial 16S ribosomal RNA". It matches the Rfam family "Bacterial small subunit ribosomal RNA", at positions 524 to 777 of the family's 1533-position model. The record is from RNAcentral.